This 255-nucleotide ribosomal RNA is filed under the name uncultured bacterium. RNAcentral describes it as "partial 16S ribosomal RNA". It matches the Rfam family "Bacterial small subunit ribosomal RNA", at positions 524 to 776 of the family's 1533-position model. The record is from RNAcentral.
UACGUAGGAGGCAAGCGUUGUCCGGAUUUAUUGGGCGUAAAGAGCUCGUAGGCGGUUUGGUAAGUCUGGUGUGAAAUCUCCACGCUCAACGUGGAGGGGCCACCCGAUACUGCCAUGACUGGAGUCCGGUAGAGGAGUGUGGAAUUCCCGGUGUAGCGGUGAAAUGCGCAGAUAUCGGGAGGAACACCUGAGGUGAAGACGGGUUGCUGGGCUGACACUGACGCUGAGUGCGCGAAAGCCAGGGGAGCAAACGGG